UAGGGAAUAUUGCUCAAUGGGGGAAACCCUGAAGCAGCAACGCCGCGUGGAGGAUGAAGGUUUUCGGAUUGUAAACUCCUUUUGUUAGAGAAGAUAAUGACGGUAUCUAACGAAUAAGCACCGGCUAACUCCGUGCCAGCAGCCGCGGUAAUACGGAGGGUGCAAGCGUUACUCGGAAUCACUGGGCGUAAAGAGCGCGUAGGCGGGAUAGCAAGUCAGAUGUGAAAUCCUAUGGCUUAACCAUAGAACUGCAUUUGAAACUAUUAUUCUAGAGUAUGGGAGAGGUAGGUGGAAUUCUUGGUGUAGGGGUAAAAUCCGUAGAGAUCAAGAGGAAUACUCAUUGCGAAGGCGACCUGCUAGAACAUAACUGACGCUGAUGCGCGAAAGCGUGGGGAGCAAACAGG
This 404-nucleotide ribosomal RNA is filed under the name uncultured bacterium. RNAcentral's name for it is "bacterial SSU rRNA". It matches the Rfam family "Bacterial small subunit ribosomal RNA", at positions 355 to 776 of the family's 1533-position model. The record is from RNAcentral.